This 305-nucleotide ribosomal RNA is filed under the name uncultured bacterium. RNAcentral's name for it is "bacterial SSU rRNA". It matches the Rfam family "Bacterial small subunit ribosomal RNA", at positions 331 to 631 of the family's 1533-position model. The record is from RNAcentral.
UCGGGCCUACGGGAGGCAGCAGUAGGGAAUUUUCGUCAAUGGGCGCAAGCCUGAACGAGCAAUGCCGCGUGAACGAGGAAGGUCUUCGGAUCGUAAAGUUCUGUUGAAGGGGAAAAAGAGCGGAGAGAGGAAAUGGUCUCCGAUUGAUAUUACCCUUCGAGGAAGUCACGGCUAACUACGUGCCAGCAGCCGCGGUAAUACGUAGGAUGCGAGCGUUAUCCGGAUUUAUUGGGUUUAAAGGGUGCGCAGGCGGCGAGUUAAGUCAGCGGUAAAAUUUCGGGGCUCAACCCCGACGAGCCGUUGAA